RNAcentral lists this transfer RNA (72 nucleotides) under Enterococcus faecium. RNAcentral's name for it is "tRNA-Glu". It matches the Rfam family "tRNA". From Rfam's summary of the family: Transfer RNA (tRNA) molecules are approximately 80 nucleotides in length. Their secondary structure includes four short double-helical elements and three loops (D, anti-codon, and T loops). RNAcentral also lists the same sequence under 2 other names. The record is from RNAcentral. Lineage: Bacteria; Bacillati; Bacillota; Bacilli; Lactobacillales; Enterococcaceae.
GGCCCGUUGGUCAAGCGGUUAAGACACCGCCCUUUCACGGCGGUAGCACGGGUUCGAAUCCCGUACGGGUCA